Molecule: ribosomal RNA, 425 nt
Filed under: uncultured bacterium
Lineage: Bacteria
Description: bacterial SSU rRNA
Rfam family: Bacterial small subunit ribosomal RNA
Source: RNAcentral
GUGGGGAAUCUUGCGCAAUGGGCGAAAGCCUGACGCAGCCAUACCGCGUGAAUGAUGAAGGUCUUAGGAUUGUAAAAUUCUUUCACCGGGGACGAUAAUGACGGUACCCGGAGAAGAAGCCCCGGCUAACUUCGUGCCAGCAGCCGCGGUAAUACGAAGGGGGCUAGCGUUGCUCGGAAUUACUGGGCGUAAAGGGCGCGUAGGCGGACAGUUUAGUCAGAGGUGAAAGCCCAGGGCUCAACCUUGGAAUUGCCUUUGAUACUGGCUGUCUUGAGUACGGGAGAGGUGAGUGGAACUCCGAGUGUAGAGGUGAAAUUCGUAGAUAUUCGGAAGAACACCAGUGGCGAAGGCGACUCACUGGCCCGUUACUGACGCUGAGGCGCGAAAGCGUGGGGAGCAAACAGGAUUAGAAACCCGGGUAGUCC